CUUAUUGAAUUAAAUGUCUUGUAUUUAUAAGUUUAAAUAUUUCAAGUAUUGCUGAUUUAUCCUCAAACAUAUAAAUCCUAUCCUUCAAGCAUCCUAUGUUAAUCUUUCAUUUUGCUACUAUUAACAUAUUAACUAAAUGUUCCUCUCUAGAAGUAUAAAACUUGCAUAUUUUAUAAAGCAAAAUGAUUGUUGUUUUUUAUGAAAAAUAUCGACUUUUAAUGGUAAUAAAGUCAUUAGAGACAAGCAAUCUCGGGGGUUGUAAAGUGGAUCGAUCUGAAGUGGCGUCCACUAUUAAAUUAGAAAAUCAUUUGAAGCCGAUUUGAAGAUUCAGAGGCUCUCAAAGUUCUAGUCCAACCUUAAUAUCAUGUGUCGGAAAACCGAGAAUAAAUAGUAACUUAAAAGAACACUUUUACUCGUGAGCGAUUUCAGCUAGCUUUACAACGAUGUGAGAGGUUUGCUCUGUUUGUUUUCUUAUAAUUUUGUUCGUCUAUGUGCUUCGCAUUUCAAUGUUAUUAAUAAAAAUAUCUUUUUUAAUUUAUAAAAUCGAAUAAAGUUUCUUAUGAGAGAUUUAGGUGCUUGUGAUUUAUAAAAAUUCUCUAAGAAAAUAGCACAAUCCCUGAUAUUGGAAAGAAAACACUCAUCCAAGAAAAAAAGGUAAGAUCUUUUAUUUAAACAUAUUACCUUUCCAAUGACAUAAUACCUUUCCAAUAAUACCACAUAAUACCUUUUCCAAUGAUGAAAAUUAUCUUCUCGAGAAUUGGAACAUCAUGCAUGCAAAGUUGAUACUUACCGACCAUAAGGUGUCCCGCAGUGGACUGGUUGGACAGACACAGUUCCGAGUAGAACACUCAUCAGCCUGCUUAGAGACCGAGGAUGAGCGAUAUCAUUCCUCGUUAAACUGUUCUACUGUAAAUUGCUCGACUUCGGGCUUAGGCCGUCGGGUUAACGAAGCGAAGGUACCAUCCCCUCUGCAGAGAAUCAAAAUUGUGAAGGCAUGUCUUGCUGAUCAUUCUCAGAGAUGUUUCCCAGACCGUCGCCAAUAGCCCAUAAAUAAACUAUAACAACACCAAUAAGGUUUAACGUAUCCCCCUAUUAAAGUAACAGAAAGCUUAAUCUAGACUACGAUUGAACACUAGGAUUUGGAUACAUGAUUUUUAUAAAUUAUGAUCGAAACACUUCUGUAUUCAAUGUGUAUCAUUAUCAUUAAUGAUCGCGAUAUUAUUGUAUUUGAUGCACCUGUGUAUAUUUCGAGUAAUCAGUGAAAAACAGAAACAAGCGUUAUUUCUACGAGAUGGUGAUUUUGGAUUCAUAAAUCCUAUAGCAGAAAAGUAUUGACAAUUCAUGUGUAUUGCUGUCAUAUGUAUUACGGUGAAUUAGUUUACGGUGUCGCAUACAUAUCGGUGUUGUGUUUCUAAUUUAUACGUACCUGUUUCUGUGUGUAUGCAUCUGUGUCAUAUUUAUUUUUGAUUUAUGGUCAACGUUUUUAUAUUUUUUCAAUGUCCUCAUGGAUAUUUCUUAAAUACUUAGGAACUCAAGCUGUGUUCUCGAUUUCCCAUUAGUUUUUGAGUUCGACAUAGUUUUGAAGCUGACAUUGAAAAAUGAGCAGAACUCAAUCUUAUUCUUAUGUGGACCUAAAUAUGAUCACAUUCAUAAAUUCGUUCGUUUUACCUUUUUCUUUUAAUCUUUAAGUGGGUAUUUGUACUUCAAGAAGUCGCACAUGACGUCAUCGCCAGCUAAUCUUUAUCAUCAAAAUGGCAUAUGAAAGUCAAGCUAAGUUUCUCUACAUGAGUUAGAAUGUUAAUUAAAUAUAGAGCAGUAUCGCACAUCGAAUUCAUUGAAAAAUCAUUCUUUCUCGUCUACUUCUUUUACUUAACUUAGAUUUAUUACUUGUUUAUGUAUUUUAUUGCAACCGUAAUAUAUUUUUGUUUUAUGUACCUGGCAACUAUGAUGUAUAAUUAAUUUGUUUAUGUCGCAGAUGUCGUGUUUUGUCUCUGUGUAAAUAUAUAGUGAAAGAAUUGGAAUAUUUGGGCCAGAAUCUUUGUGAUAACAUUUAGAAUAUGUCAUAUGACUAUAGUCAUAUGACUAUAGUCAUUUAGAAUAUGACUUUGCUUACUCGAAAUAAAAUGAGACAGUUGCUAACGUAAACAAAUGGCACGAUUCAACAACCAAGCACACAACGUCACUUGCAGGCGAUGAUUUUUUUGCGAACUCCUACAUGGUUGCAGUCGACAAUAAUGUCAUAAUUGAGGAAAUUCAAAGUGGCAAAAAUGUUUGCUGCAUACUACAUUUUAAGCAUUGAGUAUGCUGAGAUGGCUUGUGGAACCCUGGAGUUUAUUCAAAGGUGUUUCCUAAAGGUGAACCCCGAUAAAGGAUCGAAGGCUUUAAUGGAUAGUAAAGAACGUA
Molecule: non-coding RNA, 2403 nt
Organism: Parasteatoda tepidariorum (common house spider)
Lineage: Eukaryota; Metazoa; Arthropoda; Arachnida; Araneae; Theridiidae
Source: RefSeq, a predicted model, not a curated record